RNAcentral lists this unclassified non-coding RNA (520 nucleotides) under uncultured Glomus. RNAcentral's name for it is "SSU rRNA". It matches the Rfam family "Eukaryotic small subunit ribosomal RNA", at positions 569 to 1092 of the family's 1831-position model. Lineage: Eukaryota; Fungi; Glomeromycota; Glomeromycetes; Glomerales; Glomeraceae. The record is from RNAcentral.
AGCAGCCGCGGUAAUUCCAGCUCCAAUAGCGUAUAUUAAAGUUGUUGCAGUUAAAAAGCUCGUAGUUGAAUUUCGGGAUCAAUACGUCGGUCGUGCUUCGGUACGUACUGGCGUCAUUGGUUUCUCCCUUCUGACGAACCAUGAUGUCAUUAAUUUGGUGUUAUGGGAAAUCAGGACUGUUACUUUGAAAAAAUUAGAGUGUUUAAAGCAGGCUCACGCUUGAAUACAUUAGCAUGGAAUAAUGAAAUAGGACGUUCGAUCCUAUUUUGUUGGUUUCUAGGAUCAACGUAAUGAUUAAUAGGGAUAGUUGGGGGCAUUAGUAUUCAAUUGUCAGAGGUGAAAUUCUUGGAUUUAUUGAAGACUAACUACUGCGAAAGCAUUUGCCAAGGAUGUUUUCAUUAAUCAAGAACGAAAGUUAGGGGAUCGAAGACGAUCAGAUACCGUCGUAGUCUUAACCAUAAACUAUGCCGACUAGGGAUCGGAUGAUGUUAAUUUUUAAUGACUCAUUCGGCGCCUUACG